Molecule: long non-coding RNA, 404 nt
Organism: Amblyraja radiata (thorny skate)
Lineage: Eukaryota; Metazoa; Chordata; Chondrichthyes; Rajiformes; Rajidae
Exons: 3
Source: RefSeq, a predicted model, not a curated record
AGAAACUGGAUGAGUAAACAAGGGAGAAAGGAAAUGCAACAUAUGAUAAGGACAGAUGAGGGGUGGGAAACCUUUGGAGCAAAAAUUGUCAUAUUCACCAAUUUUUUGAGUUGUGCACAACUUAAUUCCAUAUAAUAUUAUAAUAUUUAAGCAACAAUUAAUAUUAAAUCAAUGGGAAUAAACUUGAUGGAAAAACACACCACUCACAGGCUGCACUUGUGUCAAUAAAGGCCGAGAAAAUAAAUACAAAAUAAAGUGUGGAAAACAAAACUGAAGGCCAAACAUGGAAUUAAGACAGAUUUGAAAAAUCUUGAUUAUUAAAUUCAUUGUUCAGACCAAAAGACUGUAAAGUGUCCAAAAUAAGUAAAUGUUGUUAACAUCUACACUUGUAACCAUAGAACAAU